Molecule: long non-coding RNA, 896 nt
Organism: Populus nigra (black poplar)
Lineage: Eukaryota; Viridiplantae; Streptophyta; Magnoliopsida; Malpighiales; Salicaceae
Exons: 2
Source: RefSeq, a predicted model, not a curated record
AGGAGAGAGCAAUGGAGAAAGGCAGAAGAUGGUUAUCACAGUGUUACUAGAGGGAGAAAGAGAGGAUAGGUGGACGUGGAGAGACAAGAAAGAUGAUGGUGGACACUAAUGAGUUUACAGGGGAAUUUGAGAAGAAAAUAAAGCAUCGCAGUAAGGACACCACAUCGACACUUCAUCAUCGAACUCCCCAAAAGACUUACGUUAUUACCAGAUUUUAAAAAUGUUUGGACUAGUUAAUUAGUUUUUGACAAUAGAAGGAUUAAUUGAUUUUUUUUGAAAACUACAGUGACUAAAAAGGUCAUCGUGGCAGUGCCGUUUGCUGGAUAAUGUACAUUGUUUCCUUCUUUCUAACCAGUCUCUGUCAAACCAAAAAAACCUUACUUUAUAGAACCCCAACAAAGAGAUAAACAAGCCUACGUUUUUCUUGUGCCCCCUUCAAAUAAUAAAAGAAAGAUGCAUCUAUGGCCAACGAUGAGGAUAAGGGAGUCAUUCAAGAUUUCAUAUUUGAAAAAAUAUGACUGGAAUCUUCAGAGAAUGAAUAGUGAAAAGAAGCGGCAGUCUCAAGAAGCCAACGACAACAGCAACCAGCAAAGACUCUUGGAUGAUGCUGGUGAGAACAGCACUAACCAGCAGAAACCAGCAAACAAUUCCAGAGCUGUUUUGAUUUGCAGAGAGAUUCUCAUGGUCAUCACUUGUUGCUACUGUUGCUUCUGUUUUGGAGCCUGUGUUGAUCAAGACGAGGAAUGAUGCUGUUUUGGAAGGGGUUAGGCCACUGAAUCUGCUUUUUGAAGAUAAUAUUUCAGGUGGGACAGGAAUUGUACAGUUUAGCUGUUAGUGUUUUGCUAGUGUUACUGGACUUUAUUCUUAAUAAGAAAUGAAGUGAUUUGUGAUCAAAA